This 299-nucleotide signal recognition particle RNA is filed under the name Oncorhynchus kisutch (coho salmon). RNAcentral describes it as "Metazoan signal recognition particle RNA (ENSOKIG00005032739.1)". It matches the Rfam family "Metazoan signal recognition particle RNA". From Rfam's summary of the family: The signal recognition particle (SRP) is a universally conserved ribonucleoprotein. It is involved in the co-translational targeting of proteins to membranes. The eukaryotic SRP consists of a 300-nucleotide 7S RNA and six proteins: SRPs 72, 68, 54, 19, 14, and 9. The record is from Rfam by way of RNAcentral. Lineage: Eukaryota; Metazoa; Chordata; Actinopteri; Salmoniformes; Salmonidae.
GCCGGGUGCGGUGGCAUGUGCCUGUAAUCCAAGUCACUGGGAGGCUGAGGUUGGUGGAUCAAGUGAGCUGAGGAGCUCUGGGCUGCAGCACACUAUGUGAACGGGUGUCCACGCUAAGUUCGGUAUCGAUAUGGUGUUCCAGGGGGAGCCCGGGACCACCAGGUUGUCUAAGGAGGGGUGAACCGGCCCAGGUCGGAAACGAAGCAGGUCAAAUCCCCCGUGCUGUCCAGUAGUUGGGAUAAUACCUGUGAGUAGAUGCUGCAGUGCAGCCUUGGCAAAACAUCGAGACCUAAUCUUUU